UGCAGUCGAGCGCGACGGGGACUUCGGUUCCCUAGUAGAGCGGCGAACGGGUGAGUAACACGUGGGUAAUCUGCCUCCGGGUGGGGAAUAACUCAGGGAAACUUGAGCUAAUUCCGCAUGACGUGGCCGAUCACAAGAUCGGCUACCAAAGCUGGGGACCCUUCGGGGCCUGGCGCCUGGAGAGGAGCCCGCGGCCAAUUAGCUUGUUGGUGAGGUAAUGGCUCACCAAGGCUCCGAUUGGUAGCCGGCCUGAGAGGGCGGACGGUCACACUGGAACUGAGACACGGUCCAGACUCCUACGGGAGGCAGCAGUGAGGAAUUUUCGUCAAUGGGGGAAACCCUGAACGAGCAACGCCGCGUGGAGGACGAAGACCUUCGGGUUGUAAACUCCUGUCGGACGGGACGAAAGUUAUCGAGGUUAAUACCCUUGGUAGUUGACGGUACCGUACGAGGAAGCCCCGGCUAACUUCGUGCCAGCAGCCGCGGUAAUACGAGGGGGGCAAGCGUUGUUCGGAAUUACUGGGCGUAAAGGGCGCGUAGGCGGUCUGACAAGUCUUCCGUGAAAGCCCACGGCUCAACCGUGGAACUGCGGGGGAAACUGCCAGACUUGAGUCCGGGAGGGGAGAGUGGAAUUCCCAGUGUAGCGGUGAAAUGCGCAGAUAUUGGGAGGAACACCGGAGCGAAGCGUCUCUCUGGACCGGUACUGACGCUGAGCGCGAAAGCCAGGGAGCGAACGGGAUUAGAUACCCCGGUAGUCCUGGGCCGUAAACGAUGAGCACUGGAUGUGGCGGGUAUUGACCCCUGCCGUGUCGGCGCUAACGCAUU
Molecule: ribosomal RNA, 825 nt
Filed under: uncultured bacterium
Lineage: Bacteria
Description: bacterial SSU rRNA
Rfam family: Bacterial small subunit ribosomal RNA
Source: RNAcentral